AGGACUCUCGGCAACGGAUAUCUCGGCUCUUGCAUCGAUGAAGAACGUAGCGAAAUGCGAUACUUGGUGUGAAUUGCAGAAUCCCGUGAACCAUCGAGUCUUUGAACGCAAGUUGCGCCUGAAGCCAUUAGGCUGAGGGCAUGCCUGCCUGGGUGUCGCCCAUU
This 164-nucleotide ribosomal RNA is filed under the name Crotalaria calycina. RNAcentral describes it as "5.8S ribosomal RNA". It matches the Rfam family "5.8S ribosomal RNA". From Rfam's summary of the family: 5.8S ribosomal RNA (5.8S rRNA) is a component of the large subunit of the eukaryotic ribosome. Lineage: Eukaryota; Viridiplantae; Streptophyta; Magnoliopsida; Fabales; Fabaceae. The record is from RNAcentral.